This 1380-nucleotide ribosomal RNA is filed under the name Triticum aestivum (bread wheat). Its description in RNAcentral is "partial small subunit ribosomal RNA". The record is from RNAcentral. Lineage: Eukaryota; Viridiplantae; Streptophyta; Magnoliopsida; Poales; Poaceae.
AUGGUACUUGUCACUACUCGAUUCCCAAAGGUAGCAGGCAUGGUGAAAACAGUUGAUCCACUAGAGCUGCGAGGUUUGGAGUCUAAUGACUUCUUCACAUUCUUUGAAGCAUGUAUAUUUGGUCAAGACAACAAGCCUGAGCAUUACGAAUAUGAGUUUGCUGGUAUUGCACGAAAAAUUGCAAACAAGCUAAAGGGUUCCCCGCUCGCAGCCAAAACAGUUGGUAGACUAUUGCAUAAGCACCUUUCUCAGGAACAUUGGAAUGGAGUUCUUGAAAAGCAUCAGUGGCUAAAGCAGCAAGAAAAUGAUGAUAUAAUGCAAUCUUUAAAGAUUAGCUACGAUUACCUCCCAUUUGAUCUGAAGAAACGCUUUUCCUAUUGUGGCCUUUUCCCUGAAGACCAUGAGUUUACUCCUUCAGAAAUCAAUCAUUUCUGGGUUGCAAUAGGCAUCAUAGACUAUAAUCACCACGCCGAUAGGAAUUACUUGGAUGAACUAGUGGACAAUGGUUUUCUCAUGAAGAAGAAAGGGUAUUAUUGGGAUGAUCGAUACCAACAACAGAAGGAAUUUGAUUGCUAUGUAAUGCAUGAUUUAAUGCAUGAGCUAUCUAAGAGUGUUUCUGCACAAGAAUGCCUCAAUAUAAGUGACUUAGAUUUCAGAGCUGAUGCUAUCCCACAAUCUGUUCGGCACUUAUCUAUCAACAUAGAAGACAGAUAUAAAGCAAAUUUUGAGGAAGAAAUGUGUAAACUAAGGGAGAGGAUCGACAUUGCUAAUCUGCGGACUUUGAUGAUAUUUAGAGGAUAUGAAGAAGAAAGAAUCGCCAAGAUUUUGAAAGAUAGCUUCAAGGAAAUAAACAGUCUGCGUGUCCUAUUUAUAGUGGUGAAGUCUGCACAAUCUUUUCCAUAUAGGUUUUCAAAACUUAUCCACCUCCAGUACCUCAAAAUUAGUUCGUCUUACAGUGAAGAUGAAAUGAGCUUGCCUAGUACACUAUCAAGAUUUUAUCACUUGAAAUUCUUGGACCUAGAUGAUUGGUAUGGUAGUUCUGAUUUGCCCAAAGACUUUAGCCACCUUGAGAAUUUACAUGAUUUCCGUGCUGCAAGUAAAGUCCACUCCAAUAUUCGCAAUGUCGGAAAGAUGAAGCAUCUGCUGGAACUAAAAGAAUUCCAUGUCAGGAAAGGGAACAUGGGAUUUCAACUGAGAGAACUUGGGUCAUUGACAGAGCUUGAAGGAGGACUGAUUAUACGUGGUCUUGAACACGUGGCAACCAAGGAGGAAGCUACUGCAGCCAAACUGGAGUUGAAAAGGAAUCUAAAGGAGUUGGAAUUACUCUGGGGCAGAGAUGGACCAACUACAGAUGCUGAUAUUCUUGUCUGCAAAUCAUGA